GUACUUUUCAGGUACUGACCUUGCCGCUCUCUUCUGUAUUCCCUCCCUCCUUGCUGCCACUGUCUCCUGGUCCCCUUGCAUUUCUGGGAUUUCCUGGCGGCUCUUUCAGAAGUCCUCACAAAUACAUCCUCAUAGCUGCUGUUGGUGUCAGCCAUUUUCCUCCUCUUCAGGUUUGGUUCAUUUUGGUGAGGUCUGCCACCUGAAAAGAAGCAUUGUGAAGGUGGCUUCCUGUUGCCGUGGCUCCUGGUGACUGCCAUCAAAGGAGCUUGUAUUGAGGGCCCCGUCUCACUGUGCUCCCAAAGUCAUUGGUGUGUCUGCUCACCAUUACGCUGCCUAAGCAUAGUGACGGUGCUGUCUGGUGCCUCUUUGACUGUACAAUAUUUGUCACCCCCUGGUAUUUUGGAACUGCAUUGCUUCAUUUGCUAUUCACAACAAUGCUGUGAGGGCAGAAGAAACAUAUAUGAAGCCACAAUGUACCAGUUCAUCUCAAUUAUGGUUUGAAGGCCUUUUUGAGAGGAGAGACAAAUCUUUUGUUUCUAUCAUCCUCCAGCAUUAUCUUGGCACUAGUCGUUGAUCCAAAUAAGAAACUUCUUUCCUUAAGUUUCCUCACAAACAACAUCAUCCUUUUUUUUUUUUUUUGAGGAAGAUUAGCCCUGAGCUAACAUCUGCUGCCAAUCCUCCUCUUUUUGCUGAGGAAGACUGGCCCUGAGCUAACAUCCGUGCCCAUCUUCCUCCACUUUAUAUGUGGUACACCUACCACAGCAUGGCUUGCCAAGCGGUGCCAUGUCUGCAACCAGGAUCUGAACCGGUGAAACCCGGGCUGCUGAAGCAGAACGUGUGAACUUAACCACUGUGUCACUGGGCUGCUCCAACAUCAUUCUAUUUUUUAACAGGAUGUCUAAAGGCUCUGAAAAUCAGAUCCAGAGAGAUCAUUUAAUCUCUAUUUAAUCAAAAUAAUCUCAAUAGUCAAUCUAGUCUGACCUGAAACUUUGUAAUUUUAGUCCAUUCUUGUUUAAAUGAUCAACUUACAAAAACAAAUUAACCAGGAGAUCCUCUUCAAUUUGCAAAAAAUCUUUAAGGAGCAAUCAAAUGCAGCCCACAGAGGCUUUCCAGCCACCAUGUCUCUCUAACUAGAGUAACUAGUUAAGUUUCCAGUUUCCUAGAAACAGCUCAUAGUCUUUCUACAAUCUUAGCUUCUCAUCUGGAAGUGACUUGGUUUGGAUAAUAAAUUAUAUGGUCAUCAUAUUUAUAAGGUUUAGGUCCUUGGCAGUUUGCAUAUUAGUAGUUUACCCCUCUAGUGACCCUCAGGUGGUCCAUAAGCCAAGUCUACCUCUCAUGUCAGGCUCUAAUGGUGCACUGAGGAAAACAGGCACAUGGUGGGACAAUGGGCAGACCAGACAUAUUGGAACAUGCAAGCGUCUAGAUGCAGGAUUCUACAAAAAGGGGUGUCAGAGUGACAAAGAGUCUGCCAUGGAGCAUGUGAGGUCAGAGGAAGGAAGUGCAUGUGAUUCAAACAUAAAUAUAUUGAAUCAUGAUAGACAGAAGUUCUCUGGACAGAGAACAGUUAUGUGCAGACAGAAAACAGGUGGACAUGUACAGCUCACCAUGAGACAAACUGCAGUGGCAACUCAAGAGGGGAGCAUGUGAAUUUCCUGACUGUUCUUUGAGAAGAAUUGCACUGUUUGAAAAUCUUUUCUGCCUUUAGUCUAUGGAUCCUGAAAGCAGUAGAGGCAGUGGUGAUUGGGGUGAUUUGGAACUUUGUAUAUUAUGUCUUUGUUAUUGAUUUCAAAUUUUUUUUUCUGGGUUUUUUUUUUACUCCCCAGAUCCCCCUAGUAGAUAGUCGUAUAUUUUAGUUGUGGGUCCUUCUAGUUGUGGCAUGUGGGACGCUGCCUCACUGUGGCCUGAUGAGCAGUGCCAUGUCUGUGCCCAGGAUGCAAACCGGUGAAACCCUGGGCCACCAUAGCGGAGUGCGUGAACUUAAUCACUCGGCCACGGGGCUGGCCCCCCAAUUUUUUGCUAUUGGUCUAUAUGAUAUUAAUUAUUUGGGUUUUUAGAACUUUUUUCUUGUAGAUCAGUACGUGAUUAAUCUAUGUAAAUGUUGAAUAUGUGCUUGAAAAGAAGGUAUAUUCUUUAUAAUGUGAAAAUAACUCUAUAUAUCUAAUAAUAUAAUCAUUUAAAUUAUAUUAUUUGUAUCUUCUGUACAUUGGCCUACUUUUUGGCUUUUUGAUCUAUCAGCUUUUGAGGGAAGUCUAUUAAAAUCUCCCAAAUCUUCCAUCACAAUUGCCAAUUUAUCUACUUGCCUCUGUAGGUCUAUUAGUUGUUGCAUUAUAUAGUUUGAGACUAUGCUAUUAGGUCCAUAUAGGUUCAUGAUUGUUAGCUCUUAUUACUCUACUCUUUGUUUUAUGAGAAUAUAAUAUUUCUUCUUGUUACCUAUUAAAUUUUUGUCUUUAAUUAUAUUUUGAGAGAUUUUAUGAAUUCUAGAUUUCUUUGAUUUCUUUUGGUUUUGUCUGUUU
This 2513-nucleotide long non-coding RNA is filed under the name Equus caballus (horse). RNAcentral's name for it is "lncRNA (ENSECAG00000043230.2)". Lineage: Eukaryota; Metazoa; Chordata; Mammalia; Perissodactyla; Equidae. The record is from RNAcentral.